Molecule: ribosomal RNA, 254 nt
Filed under: uncultured bacterium
Lineage: Bacteria
Description: partial 16S ribosomal RNA
Rfam family: Bacterial small subunit ribosomal RNA
Source: RNAcentral
UACGAAGGGGGCUAGCGUUGUUCGGAAUUACUGGGCGUAAAGCGCACGUAGGCGGCUUGUCGCGUCGUUCGUGAAAACCUGCAGCUCAACUGCAGGCUUGCGGGCGAUACGGGCAGGCUAGAGUUCGGUAGGGGAGACUGGAAUUCCUGGUGUAGCGGUGAAAUGCGCAGAUAUCAGGAGGAACACCUGCGGCGAAGGCGGGUUGCUGGGCUGACACGUGACGCUGAAGUGCGAAAGCUAGGGGAGCGAACGGG